RNAcentral lists this ribosomal RNA (514 nucleotides) under uncultured bacterium. Its description in RNAcentral is "bacterial SSU rRNA". It matches the Rfam family "Bacterial small subunit ribosomal RNA", at positions 8 to 518 of the family's 1533-position model. The record is from RNAcentral.
AGGGUUCGAUUCUGGCUCAGGAUGAACGCUAGCUACAGGCUUAACACAUGCAAGUCGAGGGGUAGCAGGGUAGCAAUACCGCUGACGACCGGCGCACGGGUGAGUAACACGUAUCCAACCUUCCCAUAACUCAGGGAUAGCCUUUCGAAAGAAAGAUUAAUACCUGAUAGUACUUUUUCAAGGCAUCUUGAGAAAGUUAAAGAUUUAUUGGUUAUGGAUGGGGAUGCGUUCCAUUAGAUAGUUGGUGAGGUAACGGCUCACCAAGUCUUCGAUGGAUAGGGGUUCUGAGAGGAAGGUCCCCCACAUUGGUACUGAGACACGGACCAAACUCCUACGGGAGGCAGCAGUGAGGAAUAUUGGUCAAUGGGCGAGAGCCUGAACCAGCCAAGUAGCGUGAAGGAAUGAAGGUCCUAUGGAUUGUAAACUUCUUUUAUAGUAGAAUAAAGUGAUCCACGUGUGGAUUUUUGUAUGUAUACUAUGAAUAAGGAUCGGCUAACUCCGUGCCAGCCGCGGC